AAAAAUUCCCCAACUCUUUCACUUUUAUCUUUAUCUCUCUUGGUCUCUCUCUCUCUUUUUCUUGAUUUUUCUUCUUUUAGUUUUAUUUUCUUUUGUUAAUUUUAGUUUUAUUUUGGGAAUCAAGUGGAUAUAGCAAUGAGAUCAUUAAGGAAAGCUUGAAGAAUACAUUGAAGGAAUUACAAUUCGUAUUUAAAAGGGUUUUAUCUCAACUUUUGUAUUCCUUUCAUUUAGUUCUUCAUGUUUGUAAUGAUAUGUUUAUGAGAAUCUCUUUGUUAUUUUGUUAGAAUGAUGAACUAAACAAGUUUAUGUUGGAAUUUAUGUAUUAGCUUAACCUAUUUUCAUU
RNAcentral lists this long non-coding RNA (343 nucleotides) under Olea europaea (common olive). RNAcentral describes it as "long non-coding RNA (OEUR_LNC004844)". The record is from RNAcentral. Lineage: Eukaryota; Viridiplantae; Streptophyta; Magnoliopsida; Lamiales; Oleaceae.